This 764-nucleotide long non-coding RNA is filed under the name Triticum aestivum (bread wheat). RNAcentral's name for it is "long non-coding RNA (TAES_LNC015568)". The record is from RNAcentral. Lineage: Eukaryota; Viridiplantae; Streptophyta; Magnoliopsida; Poales; Poaceae.
UGGUCAACGUGAAAUUUGCAGCCCAAUUGAUACAAUUGAUCUGAAUUGUAAGGUAAUCAUGCAUGCACAGUUGUGCUCGGUGUAUCAUUAUGAUUUAUCGGCGCACACGAGGUUAAUUAUUGUUAGCCCGUCCAGAUUGAUCAUUUUGUGGUCCUGCCCUUGCUGAAUAAUUACUGAAUAUUCUUUGUUCGACAUUAUUUUUACAAGAAUAUUUCAUUUCAUUUUACUUCAUUUAUUUUGUAACCUAUAGUUAAAUCACGCAAAAGCUGUCAACACAUGAACAAUGUAUUUUUAAGGGUCGGUUGCAUUUGAUCUGAAUGUGUUUUCUAGAGUCAUGUUUUGCAAGCUAAAUAUUUAUUUAACUGUCGGGUAGGUUGCUGGUGAGGUGUUCACAUCUGUAUCUUGGCCAUGUAGGUGCUGGGUCAGAACUGAGAUCUAUGCAUGCAAAAUCCAACAGAAUGAUGUUGCCACAAGAAAGAAUGCUGUGUAGACUUCCUGGCUUACUCAUAUUUUAGCGCGCUGCUGUUUUUUGAUUUGUUAAAUUUCAUGAAAAUCAUUUAUCAGGAGGAAGUGGUACUAGAGGUGUUGGGUCGCUACUGAUUUUUUUUCCUGUAAUGUACAGUCUAAUCAAAUUCUUAAACAUAUCUAGCUUUUCCUAUUGCAGCACAAAAAGUAACAGGGAGGCACUUGCUUUAGCGAAUUUUGGCAUGACAUUCUGUUAUAGCUCAGUUGCUUUUGUUUCAUGUAAUUGGUGCUUUUAUUAG